RNAcentral lists this small nucleolar RNA (106 nucleotides) under Olea europaea subsp. europaea. RNAcentral describes it as "Plant small nucleolar RNA R71". It matches the Rfam family "Plant small nucleolar RNA R71". From Rfam's summary of the family: R71 is a member of the C/D box family of snoRNAs containing the C (UGAUGA) and D (CUGA) box motifs. Multiple nearly identical copies of this snoRNA have been identified in Arabidopsis, and it is thought to function as a 2'-O-ribose methylation guide for 18S ribosomal RNA. The record is from Rfam by way of RNAcentral. Lineage: Eukaryota; Viridiplantae; Streptophyta; Magnoliopsida; Lamiales; Oleaceae.
AAUCCAUGUUGUUGUCUAUGGUGGGUAGACUCUUUUAUCGCUCCUAAGCUUCUAAAUAACAUUCGAAAUCCAACUAUUAGAAUGUGGUAAUCUCGUCCUUCAGCUU